Long non-coding RNA from Lates calcarifer (barramundi perch), 1711 nucleotides. RefSeq lists it as uncharacterized. The transcript has 4 exons. The record is from RefSeq and is a predicted model, not a curated record. NCBI's taxonomy places the organism in Eukaryota, Metazoa, Chordata, Actinopteri, Centropomidae.
AGUCUAUUGUGUUCUAUGAGGUCUUAUGCAGAAACCCUCAGAUGAGUCACAACAAGUGAGGCAGAAGGUGUGUCCGCAUAACCAACAAGUACCUGCAGGUGAAACCAAAACAAGUUUGUCUGCUUUGGGUAAAACAAACACUUUGCCAACAGGCAGCACCAUAGUUAACUGUUGGUGGAACAGUACAGCCAACACCUCUUCAACUUUAAGGCAUAAAAUCAAUUCAGAGAACAGACAUCCGGGAGGAGGAGGAGGUGAGGAGAAGGCGUUGUCCUCUCAUGAGUUUGCACGGAAAGCUAAGAGGAAAGAUAUACAGAUCGUCUGAGCAAGAGAGGACAGGCAUCCACCAGCUCCAUUUAGCAAGAGUAUUAGGCCUCAUUAGGACAAAGCCGAAUAGAUCACCACAUUCCAUACCAAACUGUGGACAGGAAAUACAAAAGGGGCACAGCUGAUUUUCUGCACACAGGAUUGCAGGAAAAGUACUGAACCGAUUUGUACCAAACUGGGUGGAGGGAUGGGACGAGGGCCAGAGACAACCCCAUUCAAUUCUGGUCUGGAUCCAUUAAUUUUUAAUCACAACAUUGCAAGAUAGGGUUUUUUUUUUUUUAACAUUUUGAUGAAGGUAUGCACUCUACUGAGUGCCACUCCAGUAUUUGUCAUGUUUUUUGUGUGUUUCUGUGUAUGGUAUUUUAUAUUAAACAACCCAACAAAUGUAAUGACUUGUCAGCAACUUCUUAACAACAAAAUUUAAAAACCUUUUUAAAUACGUUUCUGUUCUGUUGACCUAAAGGUUCAUAAGAUAUUUAGGAGACAAAACAUCUGCCUGCUACACAAAGUAAUGCACAUUUCCCCAAGUUUUCACUAAUAUUUUUCUACAUUUUCUCAUUAAAUACUAGAUUAUUUCACCUCUGGAACUAAUGUGUCUCGAUAAAACCACGAAGAAAAGCCACAGACCAACAACACGCCCACAUACUUUUAGCGAUGUAAUAUAACUGAGAUAAAAAUAGAGACGCCUCAUAUAGAAAAUAUACACAUUUAUUAUCCACAUAUUUAUUAAAAACACAUUAUGGAUUUGAGUUUAAAACCUUAGUUUGUAGUGGGCAGCAGCAUCAACUAGUCCUCCAUCAUUGCCAGUUUUAAGAGACACGACUUGGUGUCUGUGUGGGUGUAGGGAAGGAAAAAAAAAAAAAAGAGGCUCUGACUGUGCCGACAUUCAGAAAAUCCCACAGUACUGGCAUUCAUGUACAUAUAGGCGAUUUCAGGUAACUCAAUCUAAAUUGCAAUGUCAGCACACACUAGACUGUAUGCAAAUACAAUCAGAGCCAGAGGACGGGGAAGACAGUUAAUGCAAAUGAAGCACAUUUGCAACACAGAGGCAGCUCCACAUCUCCUGUCUCUGCCCUCUGCUACACCCACCCCCACUGCUCCACACUUGCAAACAAAGUAUUCCCCUUUUGGUGUCCAGGCUGUCGUCUGCAUUUGUUUCACACCACAAGUGUUAAGAAGGAGAGGCGUUUAUCACAUGCAUAUCACAGCCUCCAGGGAGGGAGCUUCUUGAUUAAACCUUUGGCUACAGGACAUUUAACAGACAAAGCCAGGAGGUGGAAAUCUCUCUUUGGGUUCUGUCUUUCAAGGUGUCUUUCUUUCUCUAACCCAAGAAAUACUGUAUGUUAUAUUUGACUAUACAAAUAAACUUGACUUAUGUCAGUGA